GACAGAACUCAGAGCUGCAAGAGAAAGAAGACUGAAUUCAGUCUCUCUUGCAGAAAAAUUGUUUUCCGUCAAGUUGAUAAUAAUGAUCACACUGAGAAUGAAUGACUCAAGAUGAAUAUCCAAAGAUAUAUCAAAACCUGGUCAGCAGUCGUGGGGAAAGGAAGAAAGCCUGAGUUGAGUUUAUGAAAGUUUUCCACUAAAGUCAGCAACAGCUUAAAUUCAAACCAGGCACAAGACGCUUGAAUCUCCAUAUGAGUUGUUCAUCAAAGGGCUGAAAGAAAAGAAAUCUGAGCCCGAGCACGGUCUGGCCUAAAAGCUUUCAAGUGACUCCUUUCUGCAGCCCAAUAAAGCAAUUGUUUGGAUUUGGGAAUGUAAGGACCAUCUCCUCCAAGCUAAACUCUGAAGUAUAAGUUGCAAAUGAAAGAAGUCCUGCUACUCUAAAGAAUAACUAAACCAGACUGGAGUCACUGAAACUGAUGGAAGAACAUCUCAGGCAUGAGUGCCAUGGUGACGUCAUCAGCUCCGUUCACAACCACUCACCAUGAGGCCAUUGCUCCUGUGGAGGACACUGGCUUAGGACUCAUGAAGUAGUACCUCAGGAAGGUGUCUCUGUAAGUGUUCCUUCCACCAGCUCCAAGACACAAUGAGAUGGAGAGAACUGGAACAAUUCCCUAUGAUUGCAGCUGGAUAUUUUCACAUGAACUAUCUAGUAAUGAAGGCAAUGGCAUGUGGUGUGGCAAAGACUGGCCCCAGAUUACAUUUCCAGUCCUUUUGUACUGAGGAGGGGCUUUGGGACCAAGACAGUAGGAGUGAGGGUACAGGUUCCACAUUCUAUUUCUCUCUUAGUUUUCUGUGGUUAUCUUGGUGACUGCAUGGUAAAGAUGGAGGUGACAAAAGAUGGAAGGAGCCUGGAUCCCUGAAUGACUUCAUGGUGCAGAGCCUUACACUACCCCCAACUCAUACUAAAACAGGGGUGGGAGGAACAAUAGACCAUUAUUCUGUUAAGGUGCUGAAAUUGUAGAGCUGUUAAUUUGAACAGUUAGAGUUUCUUAUACUGAUACAGUAUCCUUACCCUGGAUUGUUGAAAUAAUUAGUCCAAAUAGUUUCUUUGCCUAAAACUGUGGACAGAGCCUAAGCAAUAUUGAAUCCAAGACAAGGUAUAUUUAUCAUCAAAUGCUACUCACUAUACAAUACAGAUGAAUGUGGCACUUACUUCCCGUGUUGUUACCCAGCCUGCUUCUAGUAUUCUUUACACAAAAUAACAUUCAUGAGCAACCUGGGCACAAGAGGUCUCUGUCAAAAUAAGUCUUUGAUUUCUCUCCAGAUAAACUCGUGUGUGUGUGUGUGUGUGUGUGUGUGUGUGUGCAUGUCCAUUUUAUAUUUGGUUUUAGUUACAAUUCAAGGAGUCUUUCCUUUUAGACAAUGGUCCAUACAUUCAUGGAAGGCAGAACUAAUCAGAGAACCUGGUUCAAAAGUUUUAGGGGAUUCUUUGAGAAAUGUUUCCCAGAAUUUAAACUUGGGACUUGACUAUAAGUAUUAGUGUACAAAAUCACAGAGGAUAUCAAAGCAAGAUUCUUCCUGUUCUCCCAGAAAAAAAAAUAUAUUCUUGGAAAAUUAUUUUCCUAGACUGUCAAGCUCAGAGAUGGACAGUUGGCCAAUGAAGGCCUCAUCUACAGCAAGAAUGAAGAAUCUGAGCCUCAGCAGUGAAAACACUGCCUACUACUUCACUACCACCCUUUGGACUAAAACCAGAACAAACUUGCAUUUAAACCAUUAAAAAUGCCACACACAUUAAAUUCUGUGCCUGGGCCAGGCAGCUCCCAAGGCAGAUGGUGUGUAGUGUUGGAAAACUUGGUAUUAUUUAAAUGAAACAAGCAUUCCAUUGCUCUCGAUCACACUGAACAAUGAAGAUUUCACACCCAGCGAUUCUAUCAUCAGUGGAGCUCUCUCUGUCUCCAUUUGCAGCAUUGGACAGAUAAAUAAAUAUUCUUUAGAUCAAGUUAACUGCCUGAUGUUUCUUAGAGAGACAGAAACUCUAAUGAUCAAGUUGAUGUAGCAGUGGGUCAUUAUCAUCUUCCUCUGAGACCCACUGUUUGAGGGAGAAGUGUGCAGUAUGCUGCAAUAUGACUUUAAGAAAGUAUUAACAUGCCUAAGAUGACUUGAAAUUGCCAGUCUUCUGGGCUGUUGUGGGGGACAUUGGAAGGAAUCAAUGAACAUUUCCAGGAGAUUACAGAGAUCACAGGGGAAAUUGUUUAGUUAGAACUGUGUACACAAAGCUGACUUUAGACACCUGCAAAAAUCAGAAUCAUUGAAAAAAAAGAGAGAGAGAGAAAGGAAAAGAUAAAAGAAAGCCAAGAUGCUGUGUCCCAUUCCAAGUAAUACUGCUCUCCCCUUCCAAUGCUUCCAUACCAUUCUCCAAACCUGAAGCUCCCUGGAGCCAGGUUCCAUCACUAAUGGGGCAUCUCAGUUCCGACUAGAUCAUACUGGGUUGCCUGAUUUGCUGGAGAACCUCAGUGAGGAGCUGCAAGUGACUUGGUUUCUGUGCUUAAGAAACAGCAGACUACAAGGCAAAGAGCAUGGCAGAAGGGAUCAACUCAGCUUUUGUCUCUAAAACCAUCCCCAUGUCUUUUGGGGAUAAAGCCUGACUUUUAUUCCUCCCUUGAUAAUCUGUCCUUUACCUCUUGGGAUUUGGCAUUAAGCCACUCCAUAGCUUUGCUAAUUCUUGGGAGGAAGGCAUUUAUCAGGACAAAAGAGGAACCUGCACUCUCAAAGGCUUACAGGGGCAGUCAUCACGUUUGUUUGCUAUCUACUCUGAAAACAAUGACGUCUGGAUCGCAUGGGCAGAAGUCACAGGGGCCUACAAGAACCAGGCUGUGACAGCCGGGAAGCUAAUGUGUGUUACCACGGAAUCCACCAAGGGGAAAAACUUUGAAACAUUUUAAAAAUGCAGGUGCACAAAUUACUCAUGCCAGGAGCGGCAGUGGCACUUUGUAAUAAAAUCUUAUGUUUAUUUUCCACUGUUGAAUACACAUACCUUAGUGUUCCCAGAGAGGGAAGCCUACAAUGCUAUCCAAUGAAUAGUUUGCAGAUGGAUUAAAUACAUGUACCAAUGAAAUAAAACGUGCAGAUUUGGGGCUUUUUGCCUCCUACCUUUGCUCUGGGCCCAGAGCUCCCCGAUGAUGACACGGGAGGUUUGUGCAAAGAUCUGAAGUCAAGAAGGAUUAGUUUAAAGAGUCAGAUGAAAAAGGACACAAAUGAAAAUGCUUCUGCAUGAGCCUGAAAACCAACACUUAGCAAUGAGUGAUUCUGACUUUGGGGCCUGUAACAAAUAAUAGCAAAUGAGGGAAGUUUCCAGUGGCUUCACAGCAGGAGGGCAAUGGCCAGGGAACCACUGUGAAACAGAUCAGUCAACGGGACUUCCUGGUUCUUGAGGAAGCUUUGAAGGCAGGGAGUGUGGCAUACAUGUAAGGGUCUUUGUUGCUAAUAUUUUUUUUUGAGGCAUAUACUUUGCAGGGGCAAAUCUUCAAGUUGCCACUUCCUGAGAACUCCCUCAUUUUAGUGAAUAUAUAUUUCAAGCCCAGUAGUUGAAUAGCACUAUUAUUGGCACUGUGCAGGAACACCAAAAUGUGCAAGACAGGGACUUGAACUCACUGGAGUAAUGAUCUAGUGGCAUUCACAAACCACAUCGUGUGCAGCAGAAUUCUAUGAGAUAUUCAGACAAUAAAGUGCAUAGAGAGAAGGAAGAGGUCCCUCUGGCUAAGGCGAUGGAAGAGAUUAUGAAGGGAGAGCAGGCUAGACUCUGGCCUGCAGGUAAGUAAGAUGCAUGAACCAAUGCUUACGGAGAGGAAAGAAGAGUUGAGUUUAGGAAGGACAAGAGGACCUCUGCCGUUGCUAUGCAGGCUUUGGUUUAGAGAGGAGAAGACAAGAAUCUUAGAAAUGCAUUGAGUGUGCUGCUCUGUGGGCUCAGGAGCAUAACCCAGGCUUUCCACGAGCUCUUCAUUCCAUACACUGCCAUCUAGACACUGGGGCUUCUCAUGUGCUAGGUCCUGCCAGCUUUCCCUGGGAGCCCCUCAGACCGCUACUUGAACUGGUAACGAAAAAUUGAGAAGAUGUGUUGACUACACACCACAAACACACACACACACACACACACACGUGCUAAACUGGCCACUCCCCUACUGACACCACCAUCAGUAUGUCUGGGGCUCGGCUGCCAAGGGAGUUGACCUCCUUGAGGACAGCAGAGUCCAGCCCUCUGUGCAGGGAGUUAAGCUUCUGGUGUGCCUAUUUUCGUAGGGAAGAAGAAAAGAGAGGGCACAAAACGAAUCUCUAUCCCUGUCGAAAUCCUAACAAAGGCCGGGCACGGUGGCUUGUGCCUGUAAUCCCAGCACUUUGGGAAGCUGAGGCAGGCAGAUCACCUGAGGUCAGGAGUUAAAGACCAGCCUGGCCAACAUGGUGAAACCCCGUCUCUACUAAAAAUAGAAAAUUAGCCGGGGGUGGUGGUGGGAGCCUGUAAUACCAGCUACUUGGGAGGCUGAGGCAGGAGAAUCACUUGAAUCUGGGAGGUGGAGGUUGCAGUAGCCAAGACCACGCCAUUGCACUUCAGCCUGGGCGACAAGAGCAAAACUCCAUCUAAAAAAAAAGAGCAAAAAACAAACAAACAAACAAACAAACAAAUCCCAAAAAGACUGCACAGUGGCUGGCUUUUCUCCAGCCUGGUGACAGAAUUUGCAUCUGCCACAAACAGGAACCAAUCUCCUGUCUAUCCUAAGCUCUCAUGUUUGGAUUCUAUUGGCCCUCCUCAGAGGUGGAUGGAGGCGGCACCAAACAUCGUCUAGUGGGCAGGGGCACAGAGCAGAAUCCCAAGAGUGAUUUUCUCCCUCCACCAAGCCCCCCUCACCUGUGCAUGCUCCUCCCAGCCCACUCCACAUCACAUAAUUGGCAUGUGAAGAUUGAUCAGCAGUGGUGUGCGGCCUGCUCAACAGACGGAUCAGCUGUGGCAUGUGUUCAGCUGGGCAAACCUAGCACGAAGAUGUUUCUGUCGGUGUGCAGGGGACAGCCGUCCAUCAACAGCCAUCUUGUUUUGUUUAUUUGUUUAAGCAACCACAGAUGCGAGAGAGAAAGAGACAGAGAGAGAGAGAGAGCAAGUGAGUGAGGAGAAUAUUUCCACCCCCCCUCUCCCCUACAGAUCUGUCCCGAGGCUUCGAAUCUUCUUUCCCACUCUAAGCACUCUGGGCCACAUUCGAUUCUAUUUUUGUGCCCCUCUUCAACUGCAAUGAGGCUUGCUUUGGCAUCUGAGCUACCACCUGCCGUCUGCUCUUUAGUUCCUGUUUGCUGUAAAUCUCGCUUUGGGUCUUGGGUAUCUUCACAGCUAGUUCUGCAGAAGAGAAAGGAGCAUUUUGGUCUUGAGGUAACUCCCAGUCGGUCUCCAGCUUCCUCCAGAUGGAACUCUGCCCUGCUGUAGCCUCUGUGAAGACCAGCUGCCUCUGGCUUUAGCAUUUUCCUGCAGCUAACAGGCAUCAGCCCGGAGAACAAUUGUCUUGGAGGAGAGAGGGAGAGUCUGGGCUGAAAACUGCCAUGCAGGGAUGGGAGCCAUUUUUAAAGCCCUCCUGAAUGUUCAGUUGUGAAAUCAACAUCCUGAUUGUUGUGGAGCUUCAAGCAGGUGAAAACAUAAGAUGAAAGGAAAUGAAGUGACUGCUGACAGGCUGGAGAGCAUGACUUAAUCAGCAGCUAAAAUCAAUGAGUCGAAGGCUGCUGCCCCCAGCAAAAAUCAAUGGGGGAAAAGGACUGCUGGCCAAGAUCUCUCCUACAUUUUUAUUUGCCCCAAGACCACCCAAGACUUUCCUAUCCUGCUCGUGCCCUGCCUAAAAUGCUAAUUUAGGCUGUGACUUGAUAGGCCCUUGAAAAUUUCCUGGAAAUCUAGCCUCCUACCCUGAAUUAAUAAGUUGUAAGGAACAACCUCAAAUCUCGAAGGAUUAAUCCAAUAAAAGUUAAUUUCUCCUGCAUGCUGAGACCAAUAAAGAUAUUUCUCUUCUGGCAGCUUUCCUGGUGGCUCUCCUUCAAGCCGUGACAUGGGGAUCUAGGCUUCUCCCAUCUUGAGAUGUCUCCAACUUUAAUCGAGGGCCUCUCCGGUGGCUGUAGAAGCAGAAGAGAGUAUGGGGAAGGCACAUUAGGUAGUUAACCAUCUUGCCUGAAAGUGACACCUGCCACUUCUGUUCACAUUCCAUUGGCCUGCAUUCGCCAGUUGGUCCCACGAAGAUGUGAGGAGUCAGGAAAAUAAAAACCCUGGCUGGAUAUCCUUGGACUCCACAUAGUUGGCUCUACCAUAUUCCCCUAAAUAAUACUCACAUCCCCUGACAAACAACACUCAGAAUCCUAAAACCACCAAGUGGAAAAAAAUUGCUACAUUCCCACCUACUUUGAAUCUCCUCUUUACGGCUUAGAAACCCAACCGUCACUGACAUUUGCCCAUUGACAUUUUCCAUGUAGCCUGUUAGACCAUUUCUUCCCUCUUAGCAUCUUCUACAGAACUUCCAUAGACCUGUUUUCCUUUGUCUUUGUACUUUCUGGUUGUUUUCUAGAACUUCUCCAGUUUCUCUGCAUGUAGUGUUGGUUCUUGUCCUUAAGGUAAAUAAGUUGUUACUGGACCACAUCCUAUUGUGGGCAGAUUUAAGGUCUAAUUUAAAUAGACUUGGGAGAUUAGAGGUAUAGGUGAUAUUAAAAUGAUUAUUAUUUUUAAAUUUAUUCUGGUCUUCUAGAACUUCCAGGGCACCAGCAGCUCUUCCCAUAUUAUUCCAUCUGAAAUCUCAGGUUAUCAAAUAGCACACGGCCCAGCCAAGGCACAAUAUACAUGGGACAGUGUCUAGCUCAGAUCUCACCUGUGACCUUCCUCUACAGAUAUAUUUAUUGAAUUUAAAGAUGCUGGGAUGCCAAGGGGUUAUUAUAGAAGUAUGAGGUUGUAUUCCUCUAGGGAGAAGCUCCAGCCUUCUUACCUAUUCAACGAAUCAUCUUUAGACUCCCACUUCCCAUGCAUAUUAUUUUCUUUAUAAGUAACCUAAAACAGAAUCAUCCCCUAUUUAAGAACUGAUAGCAUCAGCAAGGCCACACUCCUUUGAUGUUUAGGGGCUUUCCCAAGCUGAAAAUGCCCUGCUCAUAAAUCAUUCAAUCAUUCACUGAGGAAAUGUUUACUGAUCACUGCUGUGUGCACUGUUGUAGGCACCAAGGAAAUGAAGGCAGAUAAACAUGGUCUUUGAUAUCAAAGAGGUCAUAGUCUCAUUCAGAAGAUAGAAAUGGAGACAAACAGCUCUAAUACAUAUAAGCCCUAUCUUUUGCCUUGCUCAAGAUACCAGGGUGGUGCAAAAUAAAAAAUAACUGAACUCUGUGUAGAAGGAAUAAGGUUAGGAAAAAUUUUGCUUCGUGGAGAAUAUGAUGCUUAAAUUGAGUAUUGUGAUAUGAGACAGAAUCUUCUCUAUAAAUAAGAAGGCGAUAUAGAAAGAACAAUCUAGUCUACAAGAAUAACAUUUGCAAAGAAAUAAAGGCAUAACUUCGUAGUGCGUGAUGAAAAAAUUCUCAAUGAGGUUAAGAAUUUAGAGAGGAUAUGUGGAUGCAAGGAGGGGAAGAGUGAAAAGUGGCAAAAGCAGUUUAGGUAGAAAGAUAGAUACAGAAUCAUGAUUGCCAUGGCUUAGGAUCUAACGAGGCUUCAGCAGGAGAUAAGGAAGAAAAGCUGCUUUUCUGAGUAUUUCUUGCUGUGAAGAGGAAGCCCAGCAGUGCUGCCCUCCAGACAGUGCUCCACAGUCAGGCCAUUCUGCUCUCUGGCUGUACCUCCAUAGCUAUCGUCCCCAAAGCCCCUUCCUGCUCUGUGCCUUUGCAAACGUCUGUGAAACCUUCUGCAUAUCCCAAACUUGCCUACUCUUUCUCAAACACCCCGUUCUGCACCAGUUGCCUUCAGGGCAGCUUCAGUGGCCCUGCACCCAAACUCUCAGUUGAUGUGGAAUUGGCCCCAAGCCAUUUGGCCCUGAGUAAUCACUCAUAUAAGGACUUUCCUCUCCCCACCUAAGAUCGUGCAUUGUGUGAUGGAGUGGAGUGGAGUUAUCAUCCACAAAUUGUGUCUCCCACCACACUCAGUAGAGUGCAGGCCACAUAGAAAUUAUAAAAUACAGACUUAGUGAUUAGUCGAAAGGGAAUGUUGCUAAGGUUAUCUUAGGCUCACCUACAUUAGAAUUAGCUUCUGUAGUUCUUAGAAUGCAGAUAUGGGAGGCCCAGUCCAAGAUCUACUAACUCAGAUAUCGGGCGGGGUGAUCUGCAGAUUUAAUAAGUGCCCUAAGUGGUUUUUAUGAACAUGGAAAUUUGAGAAUCAGUGACCUAGAUGGGGGUUGGUAAACUCUUUCUGUAAAGGGCCAGAGAGUAAAUAACGUAGGCUUUGUGGGCCAGAUAUGGUCUGUAGUGCAUAUCCUUCUUCUUUUCAAUUCUUUAAAAAUAUAAAAGCAUUCUUCGUUUUGGGCUGUACAAAAGCAGGCCACAGGCUAGAUUUGGCCCAUGAGCCAUAGUUUGUGAACCUCUGGCCAAGAUGAGGGGUUCCUCAUCUCCUCUAGAGGCUUCAGAGACAUGUGAAAUCCAGUGGCUUCAGGUGUGGACAGUCUAGAGAGAAAUCUCCACUUCGGUUCUUUGCAGGGAGCAGGGCCCAUUUGCCCUACAACUUUCCCUUGUGCCCUGGCAUUAUAGGAAUGUGCCCAGGCUUCUUGGCGGAUGUCCUCUAGUCUGGCCAGCACCAUAGGACAGUUCUCUCUGCCAGUUCCUGGAGCCCGCACCCUGUGGCUCGCCUACAUCGGGCCCUAAACACAACCUCUCUCCAUGUUAUUACAUUAAUACAGGCAAGGGAGUUCCUAAAACCAGAAUGGGACUGCAGUUCCCAAACCCCCUACCUCCUCCUGACCUGCAUGGUUAGGUGCUGCCUUUCUGCAGGAGCCUGGAUGUCAGCAUCUAGAUGCCUCAGGACCAGCUGUCCAAUCCCCCUUCCACCAAUCCCUGUUUUAGGUCCUCCAUGAACUUUUUCUUAGGGGAAAGCAGAAAUCCUAUCCCAUCCUGCUGCACUCACAGGAAGAGUUUGACAGUGGUUAAGAGAUCAUUCUCCUCAUUCAGCACCUCGGUGAGGUGUGAAUUUGCACAAGAUGAUUCAAUAUAUUUUCUUUGUGUAUUCUUCAGUAUAUUCAUGCUGUCCGGUGAAUUUUUGACAUUUCGGUGUGCUGCUCUAAGCUGCCCGUGUUGGGGACCUGAUCCUGACCCUGACUAUGGCUUUUAAGCAAGGAGAGCCAGAAUAAACCCAGACAAAUAGUCCUUUGCAGUGUGCACUGGUGCCCAGGUAGCCCUUGGUUAUCUGCUGUGUUCAGUCCUCCGGAGGGAGUGAUGAAAAGGGCAGUCGGCCCUCCUUCCAAGAUAGCUUGUAAGCAGUCCUGCCUUGAGGCUGAGGGUAGACGAGAUGACCCCUCCAGUCCCAUCCAGUCUUGGUAUCCUGUGAUUUCUCACGUGAGUCCAUUUUGUGCCCUGGGCUCACGUACAUCAAUUAAAAACACAACAGUGUAUGCUUCCACAGGAGGGAGGAAAAUGAACCAUAGCAGUCUUCCUAUCCGAACCAGACCCCAUUUUUCCAAGUCACCACCUUACUCUCAUCUGUAAAGCGCUAAAUAGCCUGAGACCCAGUUAUCUUUGUGACAAUCUCUCCCCAGGUGCCCCAUCACGGUAAUUACGCUCAGCGGGGAGCCUGGAGCUGCCCAUCUCUGGAGUUAAACUCAUUAAGACAGGAGACUGAGAAAUCUCCGCAGAGGGUCCCUGCCCCUGAAAUCAUGGGCAUUCCUCUUCCUUGGCUACCAGUUUUGGGGUUUGGAGGAGUCUGGGGUCUGGUCUGAGGCUCCACAUUGCCACAGAGCUUGCUUUAACCUGGAUUUGCUGUUGUGAUUUGUACUUUGGGGAAGAUACUUACUAUGGGAGUCUGCAAAGAGAACAGGUUCCAUUUCAUGAAAUGAAAUGAGGAUUGAAACAAAGCCAUGGAGGUUGCUUAUUCCAAAUAUUGAACAUGAUGAACAAGUUGAUUUGUCAAUAUUUCUCA
Molecule: long non-coding RNA, 10102 nt
Filed under: Homo sapiens (human)
Lineage: Eukaryota; Metazoa; Chordata; Mammalia; Primates; Hominidae
Description: non-protein coding LINC01894:11
Source: RNAcentral